UAGGGAAUCUUCCGCAAUGGGCGAAAGCCUGACGGAGCAACGCCGCGUGAGUGAUGAAGGUCUUCGGAUCGUAAAACUCUGUUAUUAGGGAAGAACAAAUGUGUAAGUAACUAUGCACGUCUUGACGGUACCUAAUCAGAAAGCCACGGCUAACUACGUGCCAGCAGCCGCGGUAAUACGUAGGUGGCAAGCGUUAUCCGGAAUUAUUGGGCGUAAAGCGCGCGUAGGCGGUUUUUUAAGUCUGAUGUGAAAGCCCACGGCUCAACCGUGGAGGGUCAUUGGAAACUGGAAAACUUGAGUGCAGAAGAGGAAAGUGGAAUUCCAUGUGUAGCGGUGAAAUGCGCAGAGAUAUGGAGGAACACCAGUGGCGAAGGCGACUUUCUGGUCUGUAACUGACGCUGAUGUGCGAAAGCGUGGGGAUGAAACAG
This 428-nucleotide ribosomal RNA is filed under the name Actinomycetes bacterium. RNAcentral describes it as "Actinobacteria bacterium partial 16S ribosomal RNA". It matches the Rfam family "Bacterial small subunit ribosomal RNA", at positions 355 to 775 of the family's 1533-position model. The record is from RNAcentral. Lineage: Bacteria; Bacillati; Actinomycetota; Actinomycetes.